Molecule: ribosomal RNA, 296 nt
Filed under: uncultured bacterium
Lineage: Bacteria
Description: partial 16S ribosomal RNA
Source: RNAcentral
GGACUACCCGGGUAUCUAAUCCCAUUCGCUACCCACGCUUUCGUCCUAGCAGUGUCAGGUGGCACCCAGAAGCCUGCCUACGCUAUUGGUGUUCCGAACGAUAUCAACGCAUUUCACUACUACACCGUUCGUUCCAGCUUCCUCUUUGCCCCUCUAGUUUGAAAGUUCCAAAUGACAGAUCCCAAGUUAAGCUUGGGGAUUUCACAUCUGGCUUUUCAAACCACCUGUCGGUACGCUUUACGCCCAAUAAUUCCGGAUAACGCUUGAGGUCUCUGUAUUACCGCGGCUGCUGGCAC